AGGAAUAUUGGUCAAUGGGCGUAAGCCUGAACCAGCCAAGUAGCGUGAGGGAAGACUGCCCUAUGGGUUGUAAACCUCUUUUGUGCGGGGAUAAAGUGUGGGACGUGUCCCAUAUUGCAGGUACCGCACGAAUGAGGACCGGCUAAUUCCGUGCCAGCAGCCGCGGUAAUACGGAAGGUCCGGGCGUUAUCCGGAUUUAUUGGGUUUAAAGGGAGCGCAGGCCGUCCUUUAAGCGUGCUGUGAAAUGCCGCGGCUCAACCGUGGCACUGCAGCGCGAACUGGAGGACUUGAGUACGCACGAGGUAGGCGGAAUUCGUGGUGUAGCGGUGAAAUGCUUAGAUAUCACGAAGAACUCCGAUUGCGAAGGCAGCUUACCGGAGCGCAACUGACGCUGAGGCUCGAAAGCGCGGGUAUCGAACAGGAUUAGAUACCCUGGUAGUCCGCGCGGUAAACGAUGGAUGCCCGCCGUUGGGAUUUAGAUUUCAGCGGCCAAGCGAAAGCGUUAAGCAUCCCACCUGGGGAGUACGCCGGCAACGGUGAAACUCAAAGGAAUUGACGGGGGCCCGCACAAGCGGAGGAACAUGUGGUUUAAUUCGAUGAUACGCGAGGAACCUUACCCGGGCUUGAAUUGCAGGAGAACGAUCCAGAGAUGGUGAGGCCCUUCGGGGCUCCUGUGAAGGUGCUGCAUGGUUGUCGUCAGCUCGUGCCGUGAGGUGUCGGCUCAAGUGCCAUAACGAGCGCAACCCCUGUCCAUAGUUGCCAUCAGGUCGUGCUGGGCACUCUGUGGAGACUGCCGCCGUAAGGUGUGAGGAAGGUGGGGAUGACGUCAAAUCAGCACGGCCCUUACGUCCGGGGCUACACACGCGUUACAAUGGGGCAUACAGCGAGUUGGAUGUGCGCAAGUACGUCCGGAUCAAUAAAGUGCCUCUCAGUUCGGACUGGGGUCUGCAACCCGACCCCACGAAGCUGGAUUCGCUAGUAAUCGCGCAUCAGCCAUGGCGCGGUGAAUACGUUCCCG
Molecule: ribosomal RNA, 1018 nt
Filed under: uncultured bacterium
Lineage: Bacteria
Description: bacterial SSU rRNA
Rfam family: Bacterial small subunit ribosomal RNA
Source: RNAcentral